AUUGAACGCUGGCGGUAUGCUUUACACAUGCAAGUCGAACGGUAACAGGCCGCAAGGUGCUGACGAGUGGCGAACGGGUGAGUAAUGCAUCGGAACGUGCCCAGUCGUGGGGGAUAACUACUCGAAAGAGUAGCUAAUACCGCAUACGAUCUAUGGAUGAAAGCGGGGGACCGUAAGGCCUCGCGCGAUUGGAGCGGCCGAUGUCAGAUUAGGUAGUUGGUGGGGUAAAGGCUCACCAAGCCAACGAUCUGUAGCUGGUCUGAGAGGACAACCAGCCACACUGGGACUGAGACACGGCCCAGACUCCUACGGGAGGCAGCAGUGGGGAAUUUUGGACAAUGGGCGCAAGCCUGAUCCAGCAAUGCCGCGUGCAGGAAGAAGGCCUUCGGGUUGUAAACUGCUUUUGUACGGAACGAAACGGCUCUGGUUAAUACCCGGGGCUAAUGACGGUACCGUAAGAAUAAGCACCGGCUAACUACGUG
This 482-nucleotide ribosomal RNA is filed under the name uncultured bacterium. Its description in RNAcentral is "partial 16S ribosomal RNA". It matches the Rfam family "Bacterial small subunit ribosomal RNA", at positions 30 to 507 of the family's 1533-position model. The record is from RNAcentral.